AGCACCUGUUUUGAGAUUUGGGAGAAGAACUUUACGGGGCUUAUGUAAAAUAAAGAAACUAGAUCAGCUAUUUAUUUUAAAAAGCGGUGCUUUAGUCACUCACAUGUUACCUUCAACCGGUGGAACACCAAUAUGUGAUAUUGGAAAAUGUGUCAUUUCUUAAACCAGUAGACAUAGGCUAUUACACAACACUAUGCAAAACGAACCACAAGUCGAUAACAUCAAAUUAUCGGAACUUCUAACACAUGAACAACAUAAACAGCUGUGGCGAUAAGUAAAUCUCGUGCCCCGGUUCCGGACCAAGCGUACCCACCCUACCAUGAGACGAACAACUACUCGUGUCUACUACUCUCCCCGUCAUUGCUCUCCUCACGAUAUCUCCAAGUUGCUAUUAAUAAAUUUGCACUCGUGAACAUUUUGGGAAUUUUUAAACAGAAUAUUGUUUGUUGGCAACACUAAUACGGAACAGGAGACGAAAGCACGACCAGGAGUUAUUGCCAGUCAACAAAAGAAAGGAAAACAAGAAGAGAGAUAUACACACAGGUGGGCCGCGCCGGCUGGCUCAUCGGUUUCUCUGGGUGCAGUCCCAUCCCUCCCCCGCAGUCCGCACAAUCUAUAACAUCGAAGCUACACGUCUGUAGCAAAACAGACUAAUAGCCUCUGUCCACUGAUCACAUUUCUGACACAUUUCAGAAAAUUCCACAUUUUUGACAAAUGUGUAAUAUGCGCCCUGUGCGUUUCCCCAUAAGAAAUCUCAUAUCACACAUCUUUCAAAAAAGGCACAUUUUCCAGAUAUGUGUAAAUUCGCCCCGAAUAUUUCGUGUUUUUUGCGAUAAUUAAUCGAGAUUUCGAUCGAUGUUGUGAAAAAUGGUUAACAUAAACAGCUGAUAUAUCAACGAAGGCAAGCGGCAACAUUAAAAAAGAAAUUGAGAAUUAAACUAAUCCCACAGAUUUUAGAAUUUAAACAUGGCGAAAUCUCGAAAAGAGUGCCUAAAAUGGAGCCCUUACUUCGAGAGCACCAGUUUUGAGAUUUGGGAGAAGAACUUUACGGGGCUUAUGUAAAAUAAAGAAACUAGAUCAGCUAUUUAUUUUAAAAAGCGGUGCUUUAGUCACUCACAUGUUACCUUCAACCGGUGGAACACCAAUAUGUGAUAUUGGAAAAUGUGUCAUUUCUUAAACCAGUAGACAUAGGCUAUUACACAACACUAUGCAAAACGAACCACAAGUCGAUAACAUCAAAUUAUCGGAACUUCUAACACAUGAACAACAUAAACAGCUGUGGCGAUAAGUAAAUCUCGUGCCCCGGUUCCGGACCCAGCGUACCCACCCUACCAUGAGACGAACAACUACUCGUGUCUACUACUCUCCCCGUCAUUGCUCUCCUCACGAUAUCUCCAAGUUGCUAUUAAUAAAUUUGCACUCGUGAACAUUUUGGGAAUUUUUAAACAGGUGCAUACGAUAAAUUGAAUAUUGUUUGUUGGCAACACUAAUACGGAACAGGAGACGAAAGCACGACCAGGAGUUAUUGCCAGUCAACAAAAGAAAGGAAAACAAGAAGAGAGAUAUACACACAGACACAAUAAUCUUUGGGCACUUUGCUUCCCUGUCCGCACUUUCGGAAAUUUAUUUAAUUUAGACUAGUCGGAGCACAAUGACUAUGCCGUUUACUCAGGAGGAGGCACGAAAUGGAACAGACUCACUCGGAUGAUAUGGGCGUGGUCUCGCCAGUGACCGCCUCUUCGUAGGGGGAGUCCCGUCCGUGUUAGCUCGUCUCGCCGUCGUGUGGAUUACACGGUCGAGUAUCGGUGUUUUGGAAAUCCGGCCCGUGAAUAUUUGACUUGAUCUGGCCAGCGUCCUCCGUAGAGUAUCCUCUAGUAGAGUAUCGCUUUUAUCGUCGUCUUUAACGUGUUGUGUGUAUUAUCGUUCUUUUGUACUAUUUCGUUUUGCAAUAUGUGUGCACACAAUGAAUUAUCUUGGCAAUUUAUUAAUAAAGAAAACCCGUCGUGAACGAAUAUA
Drosophila virilis is the source of this 2016-nucleotide non-coding RNA. The record is from RefSeq and is a predicted model, not a curated record. Lineage: Eukaryota; Metazoa; Arthropoda; Insecta; Diptera; Drosophilidae.